GUGAUGAGGUGGCUUGUCUCCCUUGCCCUUAGGAGGCUGAUCAACUGGCUUGGGCUCUGGCUUGGGCUCUGGGAAUGGCUUGUGCUCAUCAAGUGGGGUUGGUGGCUUGGGUUUUGUGGGUGGCUUCGGCUUCUUUCCCUGAGGAGGCAAUUUCCCAUCCAAUGGCUCCUCUAGCAAACGAGUUCUGGUUUCUUGUUUGUGAUGAGGCGGUUUCUCACCCUUUGGAGGCUGAUCAACUGGCUUUGGUUCUGGCUUGGGCUCUGGCUUGGGCUCUGGGAAUGGCUUGUGCUCAUCAAGUGGGGUUGGUGGCUUGGGUUUUGUGGGUGGCUCCGGCUUCUUUCCCUGAGGAGGCAAUUUCCCAUCCAAUGGCUCCUCUAGCAAACGAGUUCUGGUUUCUUGUAUGUGAUGAGGCGGCUUCUCACCCUUUGGAGGCUGAUCAACUGGCUUUGGUUCUGGCUUGGGCUCGGGCUUGGGCUCUGGCUUGGGCUCUGGGAAUGGCUUGUGCUCAUCAAGUGGGGUUGGUGGCUUGGGUUUUGUGGGUGGCUUCGGCUUCUUUCCCUGAGGAGGCAAUUUCCCAUCCAAUGGCUCCUCUAGCAAACGAGUUCUGGUUUCUUGUUUGUGAUGAGGCGGCUUCUCACCCUUUGGAGGCUCGUCGUUGCCCGGGUUUCCUUUGUGCUCUGGUGGUGGCUUCUCUCCUUUUCUUGGUGGCUCAUCUCUUGGGUGUCCUGGUUCAUGCUCAGGUGGUGGUUUCUCUCCUUUUCUCGGUGGCUCAUCUCCCGGGUGCUCAGGUGGUGGCUUCUCAUCCUUGUGAGGCUCAUCACCUGGUUUCUCCUUUGGUGGUGGCUUUUGUCCCUUAGGAGGCUCAUUGUUCUCUGGUGGAGGCUUUUUUCCCUUUGGAGGCUCAUUGUUCUCUGGUGGAGGCUUCUUUCCCUUUGGAGGCUGGUCAUUGCGCUCUGGUGGUGGCUUUUGUACCUGGGGAGGCUGGUCAUUGCGCUCUGGAGGUGGCUUUUCUCCCUUGGGAAAUUGGCCCUCCACCUCUAACAAAUGGUGUUCGUUGUGGGGUGGCUUGUCAACUGGUGGAGGCUUGUAAAUUGGGGGUACGGAAAUUGGAGGCUUGUAGAUUUGUGGCUUUGGGUCAUGGUUAUCAGCAAGAGAAGGAGUU
Molecule: long non-coding RNA, 1162 nt
Filed under: Prunus persica (peach)
Lineage: Eukaryota; Viridiplantae; Streptophyta; Magnoliopsida; Rosales; Rosaceae
Description: long non-coding RNA (PPER_LNC000100)
Source: RNAcentral